CGGCAUCAUCUCUUAUCCCCGGCAAGGGCGGCGAGCUCCUCAACAAUGGAGGCGGUGCAUAAGUCUUUUUUUUUGUCCCGCCUUCCUGAUCUCUUUCCUUUUCAUUACCCCUUCAAAUUCUCCUCAGAUAUCUCUGUUUUGAUUAUUACUUUACCUCCCUAUGUGAUAUUGUUCAUCUGAUUGUUUUACUUCUACUACUGGACACAUCAUCAUUAUUUCCAGCCUAUUAGAUGUGAUGCCCGAGAGAAUAGGCUUCAAUCAUUCAAUUAUAUUAACUUAGGCAUAGCAAAGUUCGAGAUGGUUAAUUCGUUUUUCUGUUUUAGCUGACCCUAUUUGAUAUAAAAUUUAACAAAUUUUGACUCAAAGGAGGGGAAGAGGAGGGAGGUAGCAGUGUGUGUGCCGGCAGAGGAGGUGGCUGGAAAGAGUGCCGCUGAUGAUGGCACGGUGAGGGGCGACGGGAUGGAGGCGGCCUUCGGCAAUAGCACAUCAAGAUGCAACGCCCGAUCCUCAUAUCCGUUUUCUGUUCUCUCCAAUGAGAUGCUCGCAUGUGAGAGAUCUGUCCUGGCAAGAACCCGGUAGGGCUAGGCUGCUCUGAUGGUUUGUCAGGCCGGAUAUUGUGUGGGUGGGCAUUCACUAACCUCCCCAGAACAAAAUUCUUGGAUGUUUAACCCAUCGCCUUUCUCUGGUUAUUUACGCCCAUGAUGAAAUCAGUAUCAUGGAUCUCCGUACAUCUAUGUGCGUUUUUUCAGCCAGAGCCCCUUGCCCUGUCUUUGCACUAGAGCAUUAUCAGAUCCACAUUGACAGCUAAUGGUAAGAUUCUACAUACCGAAGUAACUAUAACAUCAACUGGAUCAAGCCGAGACAGAAUUCAUUAGAGAUAAUGUUAUGGUUAAGAAGCCGACCAUCUUUCUUCCCAAGGUUUUCCACUACUAUGCAAAGUCCAAACGAUGCUGCACUAGAGUUGCCUGAUCUGAUUGAGAUGGUAUGUAAGAGCAUGCCUGAUGCCCAACAAAAAGAAAUGAGGAAACGUCUCUGGAGUAGGAGAUAAGUGUGUUGAAUGGUUGCUAUAAAAGUUUUCGUUCAUGCUUCUCCUUAUAUCUUCACAAAUCUUUCAUCCAGAAGUGAAUAUAAACAACACCGGAGGCUUCUCAUAUGAGUCUUUUAUAGAGUUCACAGAUGGCUGAAGCUUUUUGUAUCAA
Long non-coding RNA from Lolium rigidum, 1199 nucleotides. RefSeq lists it as uncharacterized. NCBI's taxonomy places the organism in Eukaryota, Viridiplantae, Streptophyta, Magnoliopsida, Poales, Poaceae. The transcript is spliced from 4 exons. The record is from RefSeq and is a predicted model, not a curated record.